Molecule: ribosomal RNA, 606 nt
Filed under: Triticum aestivum (bread wheat)
Lineage: Eukaryota; Viridiplantae; Streptophyta; Magnoliopsida; Poales; Poaceae
Description: partial small subunit ribosomal RNA
Source: RNAcentral
AUGUGCAUUGAACCUUUGACAACAAGAGAAGAAGUGAAAAAAAAUUGCAAUGAGGUACUUUCUUUGGCUGAGAAUUGUAACUGUAACUAUGAAAGAAAUUCUGACAGUGAAGAUUCUAAUGAAGAUUCAGUAGCUUGUGCUGGUAGUGAAGAUUAUGUGUUCCCUACACCAGAAGAAGCGGAUAGUGCUAGUAGACCAGAAGUUGGUAUGGUCUUCUCAACAUUGGAUGAAUCGCUCCGGUUUGCAAAUGUAUAUGCUCAGUUGAAUGGUUUCGCAUUGAUAAAAGGGAGGAAUUACAAGAAUAGGAAAUUGUAUUUCCAGUGCAACAAAAGUAGGAAAAGACCAAGUGCUAACAGUGGUUUGAGGAAAAGGAAAAGAAACAUCAUUGAAGGCACAAAUUGUCCGAUGAAUAUUAUAGUUAAGUUGGUGGAUGACAAGUGGCACAUUGCAUCAGUUUCUCUUGAGCAUAACCAUGAUCUAGUGAGCUCUCCAUCACUUACAAAAUUUUUCUUAAGCCACAGAAAUAUGAAUGAGGCAGAGAUAAUGUUGUCCAAGUUGCUUCAAGAACACAGAGUGAAACCUAGAAGAAGCAUGAUUAUAUUCUGA